UUGUUUAACACUCAAAUAGCAUAUAACUGGUAUAAAUGUAUCAUAUGAAAGUUUUAAAUUCUCUAUUAAGAAAUACUGUACCUGUUCAAAUGGAAACAUGGCCCCUUUCUGCUGCCUGGAACUUGACAUUUUUGUAGUUUAGUGACACACUGUCUACACUGAGGUGUGAGAACAGUGGGCCAGACCCAAAGACUGAUUUAGUCCAGGGGAGUCACAAUGGAAAAAAACUCCAGUUGAUUUCAGUAGGAGCAGGACUGAAGUAUUGAUUUUUACACCUUAUCUUUGGAUCUCUUUGUGUCUAAUCUGGAGGUAUAGCAUAAAUUUGCAUAUUGGCAGGUGAGCAUAAGGGACUGUAAAAUGGCAUAACUAAUUUACCAGUAGAAGUUGUAAAUUAAAGUGGAGGUGGUCUGCAUUAACUUAGACCCACUUGUUAGCUGCUUUUCCUGUUGCAGUUGACUAUUCUGGUCUCUUAACAUGUACAUUACACCAACUUAAACUCCCUUAGCCUUGGAGUGUUGAGUUCAGAGGCAAAGUGUUAGUUACACUUUGGUAAAUGGCAGUGAUUCUCAGUUAGCCACUGAAGAGGCUGGAAUCAGGUGUAAAUUACACCAACUUAAAUUUCCUUAGAUUCACUUCUGAAAUUGGCCCCACAUCUCUCAAUCUAAAUAUGAAGUCCAUGAAUCAACACUUAAGUCCAAGCUUUGUCCUACUUAUACUCUUGCAACCCCAUUGAAAUCAUUUGGUUAUAACUGAGGACAGAUUUGGCCAUCAGGUUUAAAUUUGAUCGUAGAAUGUAUGAUUGUGUGACUCCCACUGAUUGCAAAUGGGGACUAAACAUAUGGAGACAAGGUUCAGAAAUUUGGCCUGUGGCCAGCAUAUCUUCAAGUCUUUGCUUUUCCAAGAUGGCCAGUGUAUGUCUAAAACGUUUUCCUUUUAAACUUCUAGAGCCAGUUCUUUCAAGAAGAGAUUUUGCCCUUUGUGCUGUGGUGCUUUUUCAAACACAACAGAAGAAACGGAUGGAAAAUGAAGAGAAUUAGCAGCUGAGUUGAUGAGAAAGCAAGCAGGUGUCCCUGAGCAACCUGUCUGUGCUGGGGAAUAACACAAUGAAGGCAGGGAACUGUGCAGCCUGGAGAUACUCCAGGAAGAAGGGAGAGAGACCAGUGUCUGCACCCAAGAGAGGUGAUGGCCAGAGGAGCCGGAAGCCUGAGAGUCACCUUUAAGAAAGGUGGACAGUCUCAAUCUUGUAUCAGAACUGAAUUUUUCUGAUAAGCUUCAUUCCAUUUUGUAUUAGACUAGAGUAUGUGGGAAUGGUAUCAGUAUAACAAUACAUGGAUGGAACCUAAAAAGGUAAAUAUUAUACUGUUUGUGAUGUGUGAACGGAAUAUCCAUUUAUAGCUUGUCUCAUUGUUGGACCAAAUCUCCUGAAAGGAACUGCAUUUAUUCUUCACUAAUAAUAUAAAGCAGAGCAAAUUGUCUACUUGAUAACAACAUUUUUAAGGACUUUUUCUUUGAUCUUAAGUGUCUGGCACAGAUACAGCCAUGUGGCUAACUUUUCACUUUUAUACAGAGAUAAAGUAAAAGUUUGAGUCAAGGCCCUUAACUAACCUUGUGUUUCAAUGUCAUACAUCAGCCUGUUACUCAAAUACUAUUACCACAGCUUUGUUAUUGCAGUAAAUGGCUGGGGUCAUUUCUGAAGUAUCUGUUACAUAUAUGGAAUGAAAUCCUCACUCACACCAGAGUCAAUGUCAUUGGCUUUAAUGAGGCCAGCAUUUCUCCCAUAGGAUACUGAAUCAAUAUUCCAUUUCUACUGAAUUUUCAGAAAUACAAAAUGUAUCAGUGGACAUGGUAAAAUAAAGAGAUUGAGUAUA
Molecule: long non-coding RNA, 1868 nt
Organism: Malaclemys terrapin pileata
Lineage: Eukaryota; Metazoa; Chordata; Testudines; Emydidae
Exons: 3
Source: RefSeq, a predicted model, not a curated record